This 253-nucleotide ribosomal RNA is filed under the name uncultured bacterium. RNAcentral describes it as "partial 16S ribosomal RNA". It matches the Rfam family "Bacterial small subunit ribosomal RNA", at positions 524 to 776 of the family's 1533-position model. The record is from RNAcentral.
UACGGAGGGUGCGAGCGUUGUCCGGAAUCACUGGGCGUAAAGGGUGCGUAGGCGGGUCUUUAAGUCAGGGGGGAAAUCCUGGAGCUCAACUCCAGAACUGCCUUUGAUACUGAGGAUCUUGAGUUCGGGAGAGGUGAGUGGAACUGCGAGUGUAGAGGUGAAAUUCGUAGAUAUUCGCAAGAACACCAGUGGCGAAGGCGGCUCACUGGCCCGAUACUGACGCUGAGGCACGAAAGCGUGGGGAGCAAACAGG